Non-coding RNA from Triticum aestivum (bread wheat), 135 nucleotides. NCBI's taxonomy places the organism in Eukaryota, Viridiplantae, Streptophyta, Magnoliopsida, Poales, Poaceae. The record is from Rfam.
AUAGUACUCCCUCCGUCCCAAAAUUCUUGUCUUAGAUUUGUCUAGAUAUGGAUGUAUCAAGUCACAUUUUAGUAUUAAUUACAUCCGUAUCUAGACAAAUCUAAGACAAGAAAUUUGGGACAGAGGGAGUAGUAC